UCCCUCGCUCCUCUGCAGCUCCUCCUCUCCUCCUCCAAUACACCCCUCUGGUUGUAGUCUAAGAUGUUUACGAUGAAUCGCUCGCUCCUCUCGCACUCGCUCCUCUCCCGCUCGCUCCACUCACACUGGCUCCGUAACAAACAAAUAAACCUGAAGCUUCAAUUACGACUUCACCUUGGACUCAUUAGGCAUUACCCUAAAAGUCCUUGGUUGUGUUGUGUGGUUAUUUAUUUUGAUGUUCUGUGUUGUGAUGUUUUGUGUAGUGGCGCAAUUUUAGCAUCGUGUCUUGUAAUGUGUUGUCAUGCAUGUGUUUGUGUUGUGAUGUCUUGUCUUUUACUUGAUUUUUUUCACUUAGUGCGGAAGUCCGUCUAAAAGGUGAGUUUGGUUCCUCCAGAGUGAUUUUUUAUAUGAAACAAGGUUAGUGUAGGACUCUUUUUCAUUUUGGUUUUCUUUAGGAAAAGGACCUCCAUUGAGAAGAAACCCCCAGAGGAGCCAAGCAGGAGACUGAAGACGCAGGAGGACCAAACCUACGCAAGACAGGCCCACUAAGAGAGAUGAAUGACGGGGAUGGGUACUGAGUGUUCCUGGAAAUUUGAGGGUAAAUAACUAUCAAUACUUAAAAGGUUAAUAAGUACAAUAUGCUGUCUUUUAAGAAGAAAAAAAACACAUUUUCACAGUAACUGAAGGGCUGUAAUUCAUGUUUGUUUUCAGGUAACUCCAAAGAGUCAAACACCCAAAAUGAGUCCAGAGGAGCCCAAAGAAGACGACCAACCCUGUGAUGCAGAAGGAGACUGGACGAACAAGACGACAUGGAGAAAUAAAGUAAGUAAAGUUUGAUGAAUUUGUCUUAUAUCAUUCAAUUGUUGUCUUGAUGUGCCGCACUAUUGACCUACUAAAGAUGAAUAUUUAGUUAGUGGGCUAUUGUGUAGGUUUACAAUAGGCAACAUAAUUAACACUUGCAGUAAUUUAUUUGCUCAAUGACAAACAGGCAAAAGUCGCCCUGUGCCUUGUUAAAAUAUAACCAAACAGUCUUAUUCAUAUUGUUUGUCUCCUUUUAUUUACCAAUUGCAGCAUCAUGCCUAGAAAGGAGAGGAGAAGAAGGAAACAGAAAGGGAGCUACAGCAGACAGCCCAGGGGAGCAGCUCUCUACUCUCCUGGAUAAAAGCAUCCACCAGCAGCAAGGAGGAAGAUGAAGAUGAAGAUAAAAGGUCAGAGUCAAGAGUCAUGUUCACUGUUUCAGGCAUUUUAAAGCUAAGAUGUUGUUCCUCUAAUUUUACUGAAUCAUCUUAAAAGCUGUACACGUUAUUUAAACUACACAAAGUGGUUUGGCUGUACUAAAUUAGGCAUUAAGCUAUUUUAGCUCAUUAUAUUAUUUUGUACCAACAAGUUAUUUCUAUGUUAAAAGACUUGCAGUCAUCUUGUAUUUACCUUAACAGGCUAUAUUCAACCUUAGAAAAAUAGACUAUUACUGAAACUAUUAUUAUUCUAUUCUAGACAGCUACAGCAGGGAGGCAGUCGACCAACGACCAGCAAAGAAGCCCAGAUAGACGAAUCUCCAGAGUCAUCUACAGAUAAAGCAGAGUCCAUAGCAGCACCAAGUCCAUGCACAGAAUCAGAAGUGCUGUCUGAUGACCAAAAUGAGGGCAAACAAGAAAGGCAUGAUGUAUCAGCUGUAUGUCAAAGAAAUGAAAUGUUAAAAAUAAAUAUGUUAAAAUGAAAACAAAGUUCCAUGUCUGUCUAAAUCCACCAUAGUGAUAGAUAAUCUAUCAUUGUAGCUUGUAACUUGCUUAAAACUUCUCCAUGUGCGUUUAUUCCAAAGAACUAAAACAAUAGUGAUUGACUGAGCAGUGCUAUCGUGUGA
Molecule: long non-coding RNA, 1861 nt
Filed under: Xyrichtys novacula (pearly razorfish)
Lineage: Eukaryota; Metazoa; Chordata; Actinopteri; Labriformes; Labridae
Source: RNAcentral